This 497-nucleotide ribosomal RNA is filed under the name uncultured bacterium. RNAcentral's name for it is "partial 16S ribosomal RNA". It matches the Rfam family "Bacterial small subunit ribosomal RNA", at positions 28 to 507 of the family's 1533-position model. The record is from RNAcentral.
GAUGAACGCUGGCGGCGUGCCUAAUACAUGCAAGUCGAGCGAACGGACGAGAAGCUUGCUUCUCUGACGUUAGCGGCGGACGGCUGAGUAACACGUGGAUAACCUACCUAUAAGACUGGGAUAACUUCGGGAAACCGGAGCUAAUACCGGAUGAUAUUUUGAACCGCAUGGUUCAAUAGUGAAAGACGGUCUUGCUGUCACUUAUAGAUGGAUCCGCGCUGCAUUAGCUAGUUGGUAAGGUAACGGCUUACCAAGGCAACGAUGCAUAGCCGACCUGAGAGGGUGAUCGGCCACACUGGAACUGAGACACGGUCCAGACUCCUACGGGAGGCAGCAGUAGGGAAUCUUCCGCAAUGGGCGAAAGCCUGACGGAGCAACGCCGCGUGAGUGAUGAAGGUCUUCGGAUCGUAAAACUCUGUUAUUAGGGAAGAACAUAUGUGUAAGUAACUGUGCACAUCUUGACGGUACCUAAUCAGAAAGCCACGGCUAACUACGUG